UCUCACGCAGCUGCCCGCGCUCCGGCUGCCUGCGGCUUUCCGCCCGCCGCCCUUUCGUCCCCACCCCCCGGCGCUCUCCGCCCCAGCCCCCACCGAGCCGCCUUCCCCGGCUCCUCCACUAGGUGUGGCGCGACGACGGCGUCUCCGGCAGCUGAGAACGAGGCCGCUUCCCGCAGCCACAAGCGGAGCGCUCGGUCACCUGAUCGAGCGCGCCGGCGCCCCCGCGGGGCUGGACAAGGAACUGCGCCCAGCGGGCACUCAACCAACCCCUCGCCGCGCGGACGCCCCAACUGGGAACCGGACCCGGAUCGGACCUGGACCCCUUCCUGUUCCAGAUUCCGGAAAGGGAGUCCUCAGCGGGAACACAAUACAUGGUUGGCUGCUUUCUUAAUAAAAUGUGCAGUGUUCUGAAGUGAUCCUGUGAUGUCUGCAAUUACAUAAGCCAUAGUUAUUCUGCCACA
This 461-nucleotide long non-coding RNA is filed under the name Dasypus novemcinctus (nine-banded armadillo). Its description in RNAcentral is "lncRNA (ENSDNOG00000050545.1)". The record is from RNAcentral. Lineage: Eukaryota; Metazoa; Chordata; Mammalia; Cingulata; Dasypodidae.